AUGUACAAAAUAAACACCUUAAACAUAUCAAACAUUUUAAAAUUUAUAAAUAUCUUAUCUUUUUACAAUGAUAAAUUAAAUAACUAUCGAAAUGAUAUAAUAGAAAUAUUAUCCCAAAAUAAAAUAAAUUUUACUAUGUUACUAUUAAAUAUAAAAAAAGAAGAUGGUGAUAUUAUUAUACCUAUUUUAGUAAAAAUUAUAUUUUCUUUAUUAGAAAAUAACAAAAUCAGUAACAUGAAAUUAAAAAAAAACAUAAUUUUUUAUUUAUCAAGCGUUUCAUAUAGUAAUUAUAGUUACAUAUUAAUACCUAUUAUUUAUUUUUUUACAAACGUUUAUAAAAAUGAAGUAAAUUAUGAUAACUUGCUAAGACAUGAGGACAAAGAAAAAGUACUUUUUCAAUUUUUGAAUGAUGCACGGGGCGACUUUUAUAAUCACUGGAAUUAUUGUUGGGAUGUACAAACGGGGAGUAAAAAAGUUAGUCAAAGUGAUCGUCAAAGUGAUUGUCAAAGCGAUCACCAAAGAGAUCACCAAAGAGAUCACCAAAAAAAUCACCAAAGAAAUCACCAAAGCGAUAGUAACAAAUGUAGUAACGAUAAAUAUAGUAUAGGUAGAGACACCUUUUCGUAUGAACAAAUUUUUAAUAGUUCAUAUUGGACUUUUAAUAGUUACAUUAUUGAAAUAAGAAAAGAUAUUUUAUCAAACACAUUGGUUUUUAAAAAAAAAAUAAAUUUAUUAAUUAACAUGAUACAUAUUAUGAAACAUAAGUUAGGUACCUAUUCAAAUUUUAUCUUACAUAUUUUUAUUACAAUUUUAUAUUAUAUUAAUUCGUAUUGGUUAAUAAAAAAAAGAACAAAAAAAAAUAAUAAAAUUUUUUUAAUUAAGAAGAAGAAAAACGAUGUUAUUUUGAACGAUAUGCGUUAUGAGUACACGAUUAGUAAAGAUAUUUGUCAUGUAGUUGAUGGUAUAACGAAAACAGAAAAAAAUGAUUGUGAUGGUUGUGAUGAAGGUGAUGCUGAUUUGAUUAUAAAAAAAAAACGUAGAUACAAUAACGAUUAUGGUACAUGUAGUAACAUAAUGCAACUGGUAGGUGAAAAUAAAAAGGAUAUAAAAAAAAUGUCUAUUACUAACAAUACAGCUGUUGCUACUGUGACACAAACAAACGAUUGUAAUGACACAUGUGAUAAUACCACAAAACUUAUUCAUGUCCAAUUUGAUUUAUAUAAUAAUUUUCUUAAAAAUAUACAUAAAAAAUGUAUUGAACUUAUAAUAUUUAUUUUAGAUAACUUUAAUAUAAACGAAUGUAACAUUACUAAAGCAAAAAUGUUAUUUACUUUUUUAUUUUACAAAAAUAUAAAAGUUAUUAACUCAACAAAUAUAUUUUUUCGUUUACUAUUUCGAGUUUGGUGCAGAAACGAAUUAUACUAUGACUGUUAUAUAAAUACAAUCCCCAACUCUAUUUUAAUAUUAACAAAAAUUAUAAAUAGUGAUAAAAUAAUCAAACACUUAAAAAAAAACGAAUGGCAAAGUUUAAGUGACAAAGUUUUUAUUGUUAUUCUGCGUCUGUGUGGUUAUACUACUGUGGAGGAAGAUCAGGAGCGUGUUAUUGAAAAAAAUGCUCGCAUAGAGUACGCGAAAAACAGUAAAAGCAAGCAGCACACUUCACAAAAAAAAAAUAUAGUAGUUAAAAAAGAAAACAGAAUACCCUAUGACACGAUACUCCAAAAAAAUAACAAUAAUAAUAAAGGCUUUGGCAUUUCAAAGGGUAUGAAAAUUUUGAAACCGUAUGUACCUAAUAUUAUAGCAUGUAUAAAACAAAACAUUUUAAAAAAAUAUGAAAGAUUUUUGUUAGAGAUGGGGGUUAAUGGUUUUACCCUUCCUAAUGCAACUACAAGUUCUACCACAUUUUUAAAAAAAAAAAAAAAAAUAAACGCAAUAAAAGUUAUUGGUUAUAAAGAAUUGUAUAUUUUAAUUGAAUUAUCUGCUUUUAAUUUAGAUAUAAUGCAAAGUAUAAAUAUUAUAAACUUAAUAAUUGUGAUUAUAAGGUCGAACCCUAAUAUAUUAUUUAUUGAUAAAUAUGAUAAUAUAAAUAAAAUGAAACUAGCAUUAAUAACUUUAAAAAAAUUAAUACUAGAUAUAACAAAUAAAAACAAUUUAAAUAAAAAAAAAAAUAAAAAUAAAUUAAAUUUGGUACUUUAUAAAUCUAAAAAUGUUUAUAAUAACUGGAAUGAUAGUAUGAUAGCAUCGGGAUAUGAAGAAGUGGGAAAACAUAAUGUUGCUAGUCAGAAAGAAGACGAACAAAAAAAAAAACAUCAACAAAAACAUCAACAAAAACAUCAACACAAACCUGUUUUUAACUUUAACAAAACUAAAACAUAUGAUUACUCCCAAUAUAUAAUGGAUUUAUGUUAUAAAAUAAAAAACAUGUUAUUUGAAAUAAUACCUAAAUGUUAUGAUAUAUCAUGUCGAAUACUUGCAAGUGAACUUUUAAUUAUUGUAGGAUGUGUUUUUAUAAAAAUACAAAAUAUAAAAAAAUAUAUAUCUGUUUUUAAAAAAAAUAUAGACAUAUUUUUAAACAAAACUAAUGAUUUAAAUUAUAACUCGCAAAGCUAUAUGAAAUAUAUAAUGAAAAUACCAGUAAAAAAUGUAACUAUAAAAAAUAAU
This 2661-nucleotide long non-coding RNA is filed under the name Piliocolobus tephrosceles (Ugandan red Colobus). Its description in RNAcentral is "lncRNA (ENSPTEG00000002125.1)". Lineage: Eukaryota; Metazoa; Chordata; Mammalia; Primates; Cercopithecidae. The record is from RNAcentral.